Molecule: unclassified non-coding RNA, 260 nt
Filed under: Hevea brasiliensis (rubber tree)
Lineage: Eukaryota; Viridiplantae; Streptophyta; Magnoliopsida; Malpighiales; Euphorbiaceae
Source: RNAcentral
AAGAUCACCUGAUGGAGCUUGUUAGGAAGGGAAAGCAAAUGAGAAGAGAAACAAGGAACGUUUUUGCAAACUUAGAUGAUGAGAAUGAGUAUUUCAAUCAAAUGGGUGGCGAUGACUACUUUGAACACUAUGAUGGUUUGGAUAAAUUGUUUGAAGUUGAAGACUUUAAAUCAGGGAAUGGCACAGAUGAUGAUGGAGAUUUUGAUUUUGAUGAUGGCUCUAACAGUGAUGAAAGCACCAAAUUAUGGGCUAUCCAAGAU